UACAGAGGUCUCGAGCGUUGUUCGGAUUCAUUGGGCGUAAAGGGUGCGUAGGCGGCGUGGUAAGUCCGGUGUGAAAUCCUGGAGCUUAACUCCAGAAAUGCACUGGAUACUGCCAUGCUAGAGGACUGGAGAGGAGAUUGGAAUUCACGGUGUAGCAGUGAAAUGCGUAGAUAUCGUGAGGAAGACCAGUGGCGAAAGCGAAUCUCUGGACAGUUCCUGACGCUGAUGCACGAAGGCUAGGGGAGCAAACGGG
RNAcentral lists this ribosomal RNA (253 nucleotides) under uncultured bacterium. RNAcentral's name for it is "partial 16S ribosomal RNA". It matches the Rfam family "Bacterial small subunit ribosomal RNA", at positions 524 to 776 of the family's 1533-position model. The record is from RNAcentral.